This 492-nucleotide ribosomal RNA is filed under the name uncultured bacterium. Its description in RNAcentral is "partial 16S ribosomal RNA". It matches the Rfam family "Bacterial small subunit ribosomal RNA", at positions 29 to 507 of the family's 1533-position model. The record is from RNAcentral.
AGUGAACGCUGGCGGUAGGCCUAACACAUGCAAGUCGAACGGCAGCACAGUAAGAGCUUGCUCUUACGGGUGGCGAGUGGCGGACGGGUGAGGAAUACAUCGGAAUCUACUUUUUCGUGGGGGAUAACGUAGGGAAACUUACGCUAAUACCGCAUACGACCUACGGGUGAAAGCAGGGGAUCUUCGGGCCUUGCGCGAUUGAAUGAGCCGAUGUCGGAUUAGCUAGUUGGCGGGGUAAAGGCCCACCAAGGCGACGAUCCGUAGCUGGUCUGAGAGGAUGAUCAGCCACACUGGAACUGAGACACGGUCCAGACUCCUACGGGAGGCAGCAGUGGGGAAUAUUGGACAAUGGGCGCAAGCCUGAUCCAGCCAUACCGCGUGGGUGAAGAGGGCCUUCGGGUUGUAAAGCCCUUUUGUUGGGAAAGAAAAGCAGCAGGUUAAUACCCCGCUGUUCUGACGGUACCCAAAGAAUAAGCACCGGCUAACUUCGUG